CCUGUGCAUCGCUUCGUCGCUGUCCGCCGCAAGGCGGAGAGAGGAAAGUCCGGGCAGUACAGGGCACCGUGCUUCCUAACGGGAAGGGGGCCUGGUGGGAACACCAGGUUCACGGAAAGUGCCACAGAAAGGGAGACCGCCACAAGGCCGCAAGGCUUGAGGCCGGUGCUUGACAAGGUCCGCCUUGGCCAGGUUCCGGCGAGGCAAGGAUGAAAAGGUGAGGUAAGUGCUCACCAGUGCCGGUGGCGACAUCGGCAGCUUGGUAAACCCCACGGGCUGAAAGACCAAAUAGGCCGGGGCCCGUCCGGUACGCCCCGCAAGGGGCUCCGAACGGUAAGGGCGGCCCGUCCGAUCCCGGCGGGUAGGUCGAUCGAGGUCCAUCGCGAGGUGGACCCUGGAUAAAUGACGAGGGCCCCGCUCCGGCGGGGAACAGAACCCGGCUUACAGAUGCACAGGCCUU
RNAcentral lists this RNase P RNA (460 nucleotides) under Flavobacteriales bacterium. Its description in RNAcentral is "RNase P RNA component class A". It matches the Rfam family "Bacterial RNase P class A". Rfam says of the family: Ribonuclease P (RNase P) is a ubiquitous endoribonuclease, found in archaea, bacteria and eukarya as well as chloroplasts and mitochondria. Its best characterised activity is the generation of mature 5'-ends of tRNAs by cleaving the 5'-leader elements of precursor-tRNAs. Cellular RNase Ps are ribonucleoproteins. The record is from RNAcentral. Lineage: Bacteria; Pseudomonadati; Bacteroidota; Flavobacteriia; Flavobacteriales.